AGCUGCUUCAGUGUCUUGUCAGAGCUAGCCUAAGGUUUGCAGGUACGGGAUAGACCAGGAGGCCAGCUAGAGUAAAGUGAUGUCUUGUAAUAGCUAGUUGUGGACAUGAGAAUAUUGUAAUGUAAUGUAUCGAAUAGUUAUGAAAUGUUAAGGAUUGUAUUGAGGAUAGAAUUGUGCUUGACUCUAGUAUGUUAGUUAAUCCCUUUA
Molecule: long non-coding RNA, 207 nt
Organism: Manihot esculenta (cassava)
Lineage: Eukaryota; Viridiplantae; Streptophyta; Magnoliopsida; Malpighiales; Euphorbiaceae
Exons: 2
Source: RefSeq, a predicted model, not a curated record